GGGCGCAAGCCUGAUGCAGCGACGCCGCGUGAGGGAUGGAGGCCUUCGGGUUGUAAACCUCUUUUAUCGGGGAGCAAGCGCGAGUGAGUUUACCCGUUGAAUAAGCACCGGCUGACUACGUGCCAGCAGCCGCGGUAAUACGUAGGGUGCAAGCGUUAUCCGGAAUUAUUGGGCGUAAAGGGCUCGUAGGCGGUUCGUCGCGUCCGGUGUGAAAGUCCAUCGCUUAACGGUGGAUCCGCGCCGGGUACGGGCGGGCUUGAGUGCGGUAGGGGAGACUGGAAUUCCCGGUGUAACGGUGGAAUGUGUAGAUAUCGGGAAGAACACC
This 325-nucleotide ribosomal RNA is filed under the name uncultured bacterium. Its description in RNAcentral is "bacterial SSU rRNA". It matches the Rfam family "Bacterial small subunit ribosomal RNA", at positions 373 to 710 of the family's 1533-position model. The record is from RNAcentral.